RNAcentral lists this ribosomal RNA (253 nucleotides) under uncultured bacterium. Its description in RNAcentral is "partial 16S ribosomal RNA". It matches the Rfam family "Bacterial small subunit ribosomal RNA", at positions 524 to 776 of the family's 1533-position model. The record is from RNAcentral.
UACGAAGGGUGCAAGCGUUACUCGGAAUUAUUGGGCGUAAAGAGCUCGUAGGCGGUCUGUCGCGUCGGCUGUGAAAACCCGGAGCUCAACUCCGGGCCUGCAGUCGAUACGGGCAGACUGGAGUUCGGCAGGGGAGACUGGAAUUCCCAGUGUAGAGGUGAAAUUCGUAGAUAUUGGGAAGAACACCGGUGGCGAAGGCGGCGACCUGGUCCUUGACUGACGCUGAGGCGCGAGAGCGUGGGGAGCAAACAGG